GCCGGGGUGCCCGAGCGGUCUAAGGGGCUGGCCUGGAGAGCCAGUGCCCCGAAAGGGGCGCGCGGGUUCAAAUCCCGCCCCCGGCGCCU
This 89-nucleotide transfer RNA is filed under the name Desulfurococcus amylolyticus DSM 16532. RNAcentral's name for it is "tRNA-Ser". It matches the Rfam family "tRNA". From Rfam's summary of the family: Transfer RNA (tRNA) molecules are approximately 80 nucleotides in length. Their secondary structure includes four short double-helical elements and three loops (D, anti-codon, and T loops). The record is from RNAcentral. Lineage: Archaea; Thermoproteati; Thermoproteota; Thermoprotei; Desulfurococcales; Desulfurococcaceae.